Molecule: ribosomal RNA, 450 nt
Filed under: uncultured bacterium
Lineage: Bacteria
Description: partial 16S ribosomal RNA
Rfam family: Bacterial small subunit ribosomal RNA
Source: RNAcentral
GUGGGGAAUAUUGGACAAUGGGCGAAAGCCUGAUCCAGCCAUGCCGCGUGUGUGAAGAAGGUCUUCGGAUUGUAAAGCACUUUAAGUUGGGAGGAAGGGUAGUAACCUAAUACGUUGCUACUUUGACGUUACCGACAGAAUAAGCACCGGCUAACUUCGUGCCAGCAGCCGCGGUAAUACGAAGGGUGCAAGCGUUAAUCGGAAUUACUGGGCGUAAAGCGCGCGUAGGUGGUUCAGUAAGUUGGAAGUGAAAUCCCCGGGAUGAACCUGGGAACUGCUUUCAAAACUGCUGAGCUAGAGUACGGUAGAGGGUGGUGGAAUUUCCUGUGUAGCGGUGAAAUGCGUAGAUAUAGGAAGGAACACCAGUGGCGAAGGCGACCACCUGGACUGAUACUGACACUGAGGUGCGAAAGCGUGGGGAGCAAACAGGAUUAGAAACCCCGGUAGUCC